GAUGAACGCUGGCGGCGUGCUUAACACAUGCAAGUCGAACGAUGAAGCCCAGCUUGCUGGGUGGAUUAGUGGCGAACGGGUGAGUAACACGUGAGUAACCUGCCCUUAACUCUGGGAUAAGCCUGGGAAACUGGGUCUAAUACCGGAUAGGAGCGCCUACCGCAUGGUGGGUGUUGGAAAGAUUUAUCGGUUUUGGAUGGACUCGCGGCCUAUCAGCUUGUUGGGGGGGUAGGGGCUCACCAAGGCGACGACGGGUAGCCGGCCUGAGAGGGUGACCGGACCACGGGGAAUUGGAACAGGGCCCAAGCUCCUACGGGAGGCAGCGGGGGGGAAUUUGGCAAAAGGGGGGAAAGCCUGAUGCAGCAACGCCGGGGGGGGGAUGACGGCCUUCGGGUUGUAAACCGCUUUCAGGGGGAAAGAAGCGAAAGUGACGGUAACGGGAAAAGAAGCACCGGCCAACUACGU
RNAcentral lists this ribosomal RNA (465 nucleotides) under uncultured bacterium. RNAcentral describes it as "partial 16S ribosomal RNA". It matches the Rfam family "Bacterial small subunit ribosomal RNA", at positions 28 to 506 of the family's 1533-position model. The record is from RNAcentral.